UGGAACUGGAAUUUCAGAUAGCUGUGGU
RNAcentral lists this non-coding RNA (28 nucleotides) under Cricetulus griseus (Chinese hamster). Lineage: Eukaryota; Metazoa; Chordata; Mammalia; Rodentia; Cricetidae. The record is from RNAcentral.